UGUUGUAAAUACCUGAAUAUUUUUAAAUAUGUGAUCCUAUCUUGUCUGCUUUUGGCUUGCUGUACAGGAAAUACUUUUAGUAGUUUGGCAGGGAUGAUGUUUGAGUGGAGCAUUGCCCAGGACAACGAGUCAGCCAGAGAAGAACUGUCCAGCAAAAUUAGGAUUCUUAAAUACUCUGAAGCAGAAUAUGCUCCCCAAUGUAUAUAGCGGAGAUGGAAAAGAGGAGAAACAAGGAGAUGUGAUUUUAGUGUCUGGGAUUAGAACUGGUGCUGCUGUUGUAAAAGUUCGAAUUCAUGAACCAUUCUAUAAGAAAGUGGCAGCAGCAUUAAUACGUCUGCUUGUUUUGGAGAAUAUAUUUCUUAUACCAUCCCAUGAUAUUUAUCUCUUAGUAGGAACAUAUAUUAAAUAUCAAGUUGCAAAAAUGGUUCAAGGGAGAAUGACAGAGGUGAAAUUUCCCCUGGAACAUUAUAUACUGGAAUUGCAAGACCAUAGAGUUGCACUUAAUGGGUCUCAUUCUGAGAAAGUGGCUUUACUGGAUGACAAAACAGCCAUGGUGACUGCCUCACAACUGGGCCAGACUAAUCUUGUCUUUGUCCAUAAAAGUAUCCUUUUGUUCAAGUUUUAGCUGCCAGUCUACACUUCCUUGAGCAUGCUAGACAUGUUCUUUGGUAAAAUAAUUUAAGAAUGAUUAUAGUACUACUACAGUGUUUUCCUAUAGGUUUUAUUUUUUUAUUUUUUUUUUUUGAGACGGAGUCUUGCUCUGUCGCCAGGGCUGGAGUGCAGUGGCCGGAUCUCA
RNAcentral lists this long non-coding RNA (796 nucleotides) under Rhinopithecus bieti (black snub-nosed monkey). Its description in RNAcentral is "lncRNA (ENSRBIG00000046122.1)". The record is from RNAcentral. Lineage: Eukaryota; Metazoa; Chordata; Mammalia; Primates; Cercopithecidae.